Equus caballus (horse) is the source of this 1917-nucleotide long non-coding RNA. NCBI's taxonomy places the organism in Eukaryota, Metazoa, Chordata, Mammalia, Perissodactyla, Equidae. The record is from Ensembl.
GACAGGAAAUAGGACAGGAAAGGACGGAAUGAGCUUCCUGCGUGUGACAGCCCGGCUACCGUGUGGGGAGUAAACUUCAGCCAUUGCGCCUCCUUGCAUUCUGGAAGCAACCCACUCAACAUUUAAAGUCCUAAGAAAGAGUCAGACUGGUGAAAGGUAAAAGAUACUUACGUGGGUCACUGUCCAUUAUUCAGAAACGAAAGAGAUAUUUGACUGUUUAUUACACAUGGACUCUUAACGGUCGCCUCAGCGGAAGAUCAAUGGAGUCCACACGGAAAGUUUCGACGGCCCUGAGCUCUCCACAUCAAGGUCCUAAUGCACCAGCCGGGAGUCACACGUGGCUUUGAGUGGUCGAAAUGUGUUCGUGUGACUGAGGAACUAAAUUUGUUCAGCUUUAAUUAUUUGUAAAUUUAAAUUUAAGAACUGAAUCUCAAUUCAGUCAUUGGAAAACUUUUAAGUACAUUUAGAACAACUUGGUUAUGUGAAUCUACAUUUUCCACUGUGCAUCUUAUGAAAUCUGAAGAUAUAUCAAGCAUUUCCGAUGACGCUUCACCAUAGGUGUAGAAGUGUAAGUUGUGUGUCAGUGUGAGUGUGGAAAACUCACUAGCUUUCCAAGAAUUAGUGUGAAAACAAGAACUGAAGAAUGUAAAAUAGCAUUAAUAAUUUUGGGGCUGGAUCACAUGUUGAAAUGAUAAUAUUUGGGGUAUAUUGGAUUACAUACAAUAUAUUAUCCAUUAAUGUUACCUUUUUCCUUUUUUAAAAUACGGCUCCUGGAAAAUCUGACACGGCCUUUGUGGCUCGCGUUGUAUUCCUGUGAGACGGCGCUGUUCCAGGACUCGGGUGAGGCUGCCCGGCUGUGAGGCCCCAGCAGAGCCUGAGGACCGGCCUUGGCCCCGCCACAGAGCAUCUUUAGUUAAAAGUCUGCUCUGAAUUGAAGCAGGAAGUUUCCUCCAUGGACUGCGUCUGUUUGCUUUUUGUUUGUGUGUUAAAUGAGAACUGGUGUGCUGGUAAACCCGCGCAUCUGCUGUAAAGUGUGACAUUCACGGUCUCAAGGUCAUUACCACAGACUAAGCAUUUACAAAGGGCCAGUGUGAUGGCUAAUUUCGUGUGUCAACCUGACUGGCCUAGGGAUGCCCAGACACCUAGUAAGACAUUAUUUCUGGGCGUGUCUGUGAGGCUUUUUCUGGAAGAGAUUAGCAUUUGGUUCAGUACACUGAGUAGAGAAACGCCCUCCCCAGUGUGGGCGGCAUCAUCCAGUCGUAUGGGGGCCCAAAUGGAACAAAACGGUGAAGGAAGGGCAAUUCUCUCUCUUCUGGAGCUGAGCUGUCCACCUUCUCCCGCCCUCGGACGUCUGAGCUCCUGCUUCUUGGGCCUGAGGCCUCCGGGACUUGCACCAGCAGCUGCCCUGGUUCUCAGGCCUUUGGAUUCAGAUGGAGUUACACCGCUGGUUCUCUGGCUCUGCAGCUGGCGGACAGCAGACUGUGGGACUUCUCAGCCUCCGCAACCACGUUCUGGAACUUCAGAUGGCUCAGCUUUACUUCUGCCUUUAACAUGAAAACAGCAGCAGCAGAGACGACCGCACUACUCAAACCACAUCCGCCCAGCCCUUCACAGCCUUCCCCACAGGCGGAUGAGGGAGAGAUGGAGAAACCGAGGCCGAAGGCCACAGUCUGGCUGCAGGAGCAGUGGCAGAAGAGCACGUCAGAGCAGUCACUGAAGUCUCAGCUCUGUGUUCAGGAGGCCAAAAUGGGGAGCUCCAGGGAACCGGAAAAUGCUGGAGACGGUGGAAAGGGAGGAGCUCAGGGAAGCGACUCUUACAGCUGACAUGGGUCUCCUGUAAUCAGCGCACUCAGACGCUGAGAACCCAACUAGGAGACGGACCGCUGCUCAGGUCCUGGACUAACCACCAGGCGGCAC